UACAGAGGGUGCGAGCGUUGUUCGGAAUUACUGGGCGUAAAGCGCGCGCAGGCGGCUUCUUAAGUCUGACGGUGAAAUGCCGGGGCUCAACCCCGUGCCCGCCGCGGAUACUGGGAAGCUGGAGACGAGUAGAGGCAAGCGGAAUUCCGGGUGUAGCGGUGGAAUGCGUAGAGAUCCGGAAGAACACCGGAGGCGAAGGCGGCUUGCUGGGCUCGGUCUGACGCUGAGGCGCGAAAGCGUGGGGAGCGAACAGGAUUAGAAACCCCCGUAGUCC
RNAcentral lists this ribosomal RNA (274 nucleotides) under uncultured bacterium. RNAcentral's name for it is "partial 16S ribosomal RNA". It matches the Rfam family "Bacterial small subunit ribosomal RNA", at positions 524 to 796 of the family's 1533-position model. The record is from RNAcentral.